UCGCUGGACAAGGUCCAGCUGCCCACCGCAAGCAUGUUGUUGCUCUGCUUUUGAAAACGACACAGAGAGUUGGAGGAGAAGAAAUCAUACUUCCUAGUACAUGUAUCUACUCGAGAACUGCAGUCAUUCCAUACUGGCCCUAUUUCUGAACCCCUCUUGAAGUUCAAGAUUCGGAUUCCUGAGAUCAAAAUACAUAAGGAUAGCAUGAGGAGCCCUUCACAAAAAA
This 226-nucleotide unclassified non-coding RNA is filed under the name Athalia rosae (coleseed sawfly). RNAcentral's name for it is "misc RNA ENSAEAG00005008040.1". Lineage: Eukaryota; Metazoa; Arthropoda; Insecta; Hymenoptera; Athaliidae. The record is from RNAcentral.